Molecule: ribosomal RNA, 117 nt
Filed under: Oreochromis niloticus (Nile tilapia)
Lineage: Eukaryota; Metazoa; Chordata; Actinopteri; Cichliformes; Cichlidae
Source: RNAcentral
GCUUACAGCUUUAACACCCUGAAUAUACCAGCUCAUCAGGUCUUAGAAGCUAAGCAGGGUCAGGCCAGCUUAGUACUUGGAUGGGAGACCGCUUGGGAAUUACAGGUGCUGUAACAU